UACGGAAGGUGCGAGCGUUGUUCGGAAUCACUGGGCUUAAAGGGCGUGUAGGCGGGACCGAAGGUGCCUUGUGAAAUCCCCCGGCUCAACCGGGGAAUGGCUGGGCAAACCGUGGUCCUUGAGGCAAGUAGAGGCGACUGGAACCUUUGGUGGAGCGGUGAAAUGCGUAGAGAUCAAAGGGAACACCGGUGGCGAAAGCGAGUCGCUGGGCUUGUUCUGACGCUGAGACGCGAAAGCGUGGGGAGCGAACAGG
RNAcentral lists this ribosomal RNA (253 nucleotides) under uncultured bacterium. RNAcentral describes it as "partial 16S ribosomal RNA". It matches the Rfam family "Bacterial small subunit ribosomal RNA", at positions 524 to 776 of the family's 1533-position model. The record is from RNAcentral.